This 273-nucleotide ribosomal RNA is filed under the name uncultured bacterium. RNAcentral describes it as "partial 16S ribosomal RNA". It matches the Rfam family "Bacterial small subunit ribosomal RNA", at positions 524 to 796 of the family's 1533-position model. The record is from RNAcentral.
UACGUAGGGCGCAAGCGUUGUCCGGAAUUAUUGGGCGUAAAGAGCUCGUAGGCGGUCCGUCGCGUCGGGAGUGAAAACCCGGGGCUUAACCCCGGGCCUGCUUUCGAUACGGGCAGACUAGAGUAUGGCAGGGGAGACUGGAAUUCCUGGUGUAGCGGUGAAAUGCGCAGAUAUCAGGAGGAACACCGGUGGCGAAGGCGGGUCUCUGGGCCAUCACUGACGCUGAGGAGCGAAAGCGUGGGGAGCGAACAGGAUUAGAAACCCCCGUAGUCC